This 105-nucleotide small nuclear RNA is filed under the name Sorex araneus (European shrew). The record is from RNAcentral. Lineage: Eukaryota; Metazoa; Chordata; Mammalia; Eulipotyphla; Soricidae.
GUGCUUGCUUUAGCAGCACAUACACUAAAGCUGGAAUGAAAGAGGAGCUUACCAGGGCUCCUGCACAAGGCUAACGUGUGAAAGUUACAGAAGUUAUGCAGUUAA